CAGCAGCCACGGGAAUACAGAGGGUGCGAGCGUUAAUCGGAAUUACUGGGCGUAAAGGGCGCGUAGGCGGUUAGGAAGGUGUGAUGUGAAAGCCCUGGGCUUAACCUAGGAAGUGCAUCGCAAACCAACUAGCUGGAGUAUAAGAGAGGGUGGCGGAAUUUCCGGUGUAGCGGUGAAAUGCGUAGAGAUCGGAAGGAACGUCAAUGGCGAAGGCAGCCACCUGGCUUAAUACUGACGCUGAGGCGCGAAAGCGUGGGGAGCGAACAGGAUUAGAUACCCGCGUAGUCCCUGUCUCUUAUAC
This 301-nucleotide ribosomal RNA is filed under the name uncultured bacterium. RNAcentral's name for it is "partial 16S ribosomal RNA". It matches the Rfam family "Bacterial small subunit ribosomal RNA", at positions 509 to 807 of the family's 1533-position model. The record is from RNAcentral.